UUUUGAACUACUAAUUAGUUCAGGUAUCAUGUCAUAGAAUUCAGAACUGGACACAAUAAUCAUAUACUCUAUGGCGUACCUGAGGCUGGCCUUAGGUCGGUGGUUUCAUGCCAUGCUUGGAGUUUAGUGACUGAUGAAGUUGGUUAGCAUUCCGCUUGCUGGAUCUUUCUUAGAGCUCAGGAUAUGAAUGGCAGGAGAGUGCAGUUGACCUGUCCAGAAGUGUGCAUAUUCACUGUGAAUAGUUUUGUGACUGCAAUGGAGUACCAUUUAAGGCAAUAUAUAUCCCAGUAUCUUUACAAUAUUGUUAGGAAAAAAAUGAGACUGUUGCCAAGGUACUAAGCACAAGCACAAUACCUUUAAACGUUUCGUUUAGGCGUGAUGUGGUAGGAGAUAAACUAAGGCUCUGGCUAGAUUUGGUUGAAAGGGUUGUAACAGUUCAGUUGAGCGAACAGGAGGAUAUCUUUUGUUGGAAUUUGAAUAAAAACAGAACUUUUACAGUGAGCUCUUUGUAUACAGACCUAAUGCGAAGUGAAGGCGUACCAUCAAAGUGUAUAGCUUGGAAAUUAAAGUUCCUCUUAAGAUUAAAGUAUGUGUUUUUAUGGUAUUUAAAAAAGGAAGUCUAAAAGAAAAUGAUAGGGGUGUACUAAAUGUUGUUUCUGUGACUUUGAAGAGACUAUCCAACAUUUAUUUUUUGAGUGUCAUCUGGCACGUUCCUGUUGGAAUACCGUGUACAUCUCACUUGGCAUUCAACCACCACAGAUCUUUUUGAUUCUUGGCCUAAAAGAUUUCGGGGGUGUUUGGAUCUUUAGUCCUGACUAAAAUUCAUGUCACAUUGAAUAUUCGGAGGCUAAUUAGAAGGACUAAACAUGAGCUAAUUAUAAAACUAAUUACACAGAUGGAGGCUAAUUCGCGAGACGAAUCUAUUAAGCCUAAUUAAUCCAUCAUUAGCACAUGUUUACUGUAGCGUCACUUUGUCAAAUCAUGGAAUAAUUAGGCUUAAUAGAUUCGUCUCACAAAUUAGUCUCCAUCUGUGCAAUUGGUUUUGUAAUUAGCCUAUAUUUAAUACUCCUAAUUAGUAUAUAAACAUUCGAUGUGACAGGAAUUUUAGGAGGUGCUAAAGAAACAAACAACCCCUUCCUUUGAAGCUUAGAAAUCAUGGCCUGUUCGCUUCAGCUUAUAAGCCGGCUGAAAAGCUGAAACGGCUGAUUUGUUGUGAGAGGAAAACACUGUUUGGUGGCUGAUAAGCCGGCUGAAUAAGCUGAAGCGAACAUGCCGCAUGCUUUAAUUGGUGCGGCAGCCUUUGUUUGGGCUAUUUGGUUGGAUAGAAAUGAUGUGAUAUUCAAGAGAACAAAUCCUAAUUCUCUGUUGCAGGUUAUCUUUAGGGGGACAUACUGGAUUAGGUGUAGGUCACUACUCUCUAAAGAGGAAGAGAGGUUAAAUUUGAAGAAGGGAUGCCUCAUAUUGAAGGUCGUUGUCAUGGAACUCUUCAAUAGUUUCGGAUGCAGGUUCAAGAACAGAAUCAAGGCUUAGAGUCUUUUCUUAUUCUAUCUGUCAUUUUCAUAGUCAUGUAAGCUUCCUUUUGGAAGCAUGCCCUAAGUACUGCAUUUUAUUAUGUUCCCUAUCUGCUGUAGGCACUCACUUGUGAGUGUUGAGGCUGGAAUAUUUUUCAAUCUAAAAAUCCAAGUAUACGUACAUUGUAUAUGUACAGUAUACGUACAUUGUAUAUGUACAUUGUGAUGUUGACGCAAGCUGCACCCAAAUUGAUUGAUUUCGAGCUCAUUACAAUUGUUUUAUUUUUUUGGAACACGUAGGUGUAAAACUCCUGUCACGUGAAAGUGUUCGUUUGCGUGAUUCAAGCAUGGUAUAAAAUUCCCUAUGUUUUCCUGUAAUAUUUCCUAUGUUUUAAAAUGUAUGGUGUUUAACAAACUAGUCCAUUUUGAACUGCUAAUUAGUUCAGGCAUCAUGAUAGAAUUCAGAAAUUUAAUUUUGUCCUAAAAAUAAUGCACUUUUUAGAUUUUGAAACAGCUAAAGUAGUAAUUGCAUAUGCACAUUUAAUGGUAUAAAAUCAAAGAAAUCCUUUCAAUGGUUCAAAAGCAAAAAGAAAAAGACGUCAACCUCCCGAUACAGCCCAAUUAAACAAAAGGCCUAAGCACAAAAUCGUUACAGCCCACCAACUAAAGAUACCGAACACUUUACCAAACCAGGCCCAAUCAAACUGACUUCGCAUGUGGGUUUUACAUUGUGAUGUGUUCUUUAUGGAAUGCUGGUUAUGGAAUGCUGCUUCUUCGGAUGUAAAGGUACCCUCCUCCUUGGCCCCAG
Molecule: long non-coding RNA, 2319 nt
Filed under: Setaria viridis
Lineage: Eukaryota; Viridiplantae; Streptophyta; Magnoliopsida; Poales; Poaceae
Description: long non-coding RNA (SVIR_LNC009896)
Source: RNAcentral